GUAGAUGGAAUGAAGGUUUGAUUGACAAAGGAUCAGGUAGAGAGAGGUGGGUAGAAGGAGAGGGAGUUUGAUGGACAAAGGAUCAGGUAGAGAGAGGGUGGGUAGAAGGAGAGGGAGUUUGAUGGACAAAGGAUCAGGUAGAUAGAGGUGGGUAGAAGGAGAGGGAGUUUGAUAGACAAAGGAUCAGGUAGAUAGAGGUGGGUAGAAGGAGAGGGAGUUUGAUGGACAAAGGAUCAGGUAGAGAGAGGUGGGUAGAAGGAGAGGGAGUUUGAUGGACAAAGGAUCAGGUAGAUAGAGGUGGGUAGAAGGAGAGGGAGUUUGAGGGACAAAGGAUCAGGUAGAGAGAGGGUGGGUUGAUGGAGAGGGAGUUUGAUGGACAAAGGGUUAGCUGUAGAGAGGGCGUUAUGUAGAGGGGGUAAGGUGGGUUUGGAAGAUUAUGGGAGAAGCCUGCCUGCCUAAGUUGUGUUAAUGAAUUGGGUCAGGAACAAGGGAAGGUUUCAGUAACCUUCUCACACAAGUCAUCUCCUGAGCCUCAUCAAUAUACAAGAGAGCAGACACCCUCCUGCCAAUCAUGACGCACAACAAACAGGAGGCUGACCGAUGAAUCCUACAGGACAAGAUGACCUGACAGAGACUGCUGCAAUUACACACUUCACCGUAGACACACAGACA
RNAcentral lists this long non-coding RNA (672 nucleotides) under Haliotis rubra (blacklip abalone). RNAcentral's name for it is "uncharacterized LOC124256574, transcript variant X2". Lineage: Eukaryota; Metazoa; Mollusca; Gastropoda; Lepetellida; Haliotidae. The record is from RNAcentral.